RNAcentral lists this ribosomal RNA (1461 nucleotides) under metagenome. RNAcentral's name for it is "bacterial LSU rRNA". It matches the Rfam family "Bacterial large subunit ribosomal RNA", at positions 1462 to 2925 of the family's 2925-position model. The record is from RNAcentral.
UGAAGGAGUGACAGAGAAAGGUAGCACAUCCACAUUGGUUGUUGUGGUGUAAGGUCGCAGGUGGGAUCGGUAGGCAAAUCCGCUGGUCCAUUCAACACUGAGAACUGAUGCCGAGGCGCAAGCCGAAGUGUGUAACCCUAAGCUUCCAAGAAAAGCUUCGUAGGGAGAUAAGUAUUAAUCCGUACCGUAAACCGACACAGGUAGAUGAGGCGAAAAGCCUAAGGUGCAUGGAUGAACUAUAUUUAAGGAACUCUGCAAAUUAGUACUGUAACCUCGGGAUAAAGUACGCCCUUGAACGUGAAGUCACUUGCUGACGUAGCGUCUGAGGGUCGCAGUGAAAUGGGGGUAGCGACUGUUUACCAAAAACACAGGUCUAUGCAAACACGCAAGUGGAAGUAUAUGGGCUGACGCCUCCCCGGUGCUGGAAGGUUAAGAGGUGAGGUUAGCCGCAAGGCGAAGCUUUAAAUUGAAGCCCCAGUAAACGGCGGCCGUAACUAUAACGGUCCUAAGGUAGCAAAUUCCUAGUCGGGUAAGUUCCGACCUGCACGAAUGGCGUAACGACUUCCCCACUGUCUCAAAUGUAGAUCCAGCGAAAUUGGUGAGCGCGUGAAGAAACGCGCUACCCGCGGAAGGACGAAAAGACCCCGUGAACCUUUACUGUAACUUGGCAUUGGGUUUCGAAUAAGCAUGCGUAGGAUAGGUGGGAGUUUUUGAUCCGUGCGUUCCGGCGUACGGGGAGACAACCUUGAAAUACCACCCUUGCUUAUUUGGAAUCCUAACCUGCGGUCCUAAUCGGGCCGGGGGACAAUGUCUGGUGGGCAGUUUGACUGGGGCGGUCGCCUCCUAAAGAGUAACGGAGGCGCACGAAGGUCCGCUCAACCUGAAUGGAAACCAGGUGUAGAGUGUAAACGCAUAAGCGGGCUUGACUGCGAGACAAACACGUCGAGCAGGUACGAAAGUAGGUGUUAGUGAUCCGGUGGUUCCGAGUGGAAGGGCCAUCGCUCAACGGAUAAAAGGUACUCCGGGGAUAACAGGCUGAUUUCCUCCAAGAGUUCACAUCGACGAGGAAGUUUGGCACCUCGAUGUCGGCUCAUCGCAUCCUGGGGCUGGAGCAGGUCCCAAAGGUUUGACUGUUCGUCAAUUAAAGCGGUACGCGAGCUGGGUUCAGAACGUCGUGAGACAGUUCGGUCUCUAUCCUCCGUGGGCGUAAGAUAUUUGAGAGGAGCUGACCUUAGUACGAGAGGACCGGGUUGGACAAACCUCUGGUGUACCGGUUGUGGUGCCAACUGCAUCGCCGGGUAGCUAAGUUUGGACGGGAUAAGCACUGAAAGCAUCUAAGUGCGAAGCCCCCCUCAAGAUUAGAUAUCUAUUAAGGGUGCUUGUAGACUACGAGCUUGAUAGGUUGGGUGUAUAAGCGAUGCAAGUCGUUGAGCUGACCAAUACUAAUAACCCGUUUUGCUC